This is a long non-coding RNA of Ochotona princeps (American pika), 589 nucleotides long. RefSeq lists it as uncharacterized. The record is from RefSeq and is a predicted model, not a curated record. The transcript has 3 exons. Lineage: Eukaryota; Metazoa; Chordata; Mammalia; Lagomorpha; Ochotonidae.
CAGGAUCAAUAUGGCGAUAACCCUGUCUCCCGGGGCAUGGAGAGCACAUCCAGUUUGGUGUUUCACUCUUGCUCCUUCCCUUCUUGUGUCACGGACACAAGUCCCAUUACUCCCAUCCCCGUGCGAAAGGGCCAAGGAAAGGAGCGCCAUAGUCCCUCGACUUCACACCUGCUUGGCGUCCUUCCUCCACAGAACCCAGCACUGCCCACCUUGCCCAGGUCUCUGAGCCGUUAAGCACGUCCAGACGACAAGGUGUGGGUCUCCUGAAGAGUGGAAACCAACAGCUGUGAAAUAGUGCACUGGAACCGGCUCCUGGUUUGUCAUCAGACUGUUUCCAAGUGACAUUCAAUUUUAAGCCACCUCAAGAGAUUUGAUUUUGAUGAUGACACAACCACAAAAUCUCUUGUGAUUUCCAGUAUGCUUAUUUUAAACGCACCAAGGAAUUGAGCACAGCUGUUGCCGAUGCAAUAAUAGAAAACGUCAUCAUUUCCAGUAUUAACAACAACAACAAAAGGUGAAGGCAGGCAUGAUUCCCAGGAACAGCGUGGCGCCCGUGUGCGCUUCAGUUUGACGGGUCAGCUGACUGCUG